GACGAACGCUGGCGGCGUGCUUAACACAUGCGAGUCGAACGGAAAGGCCCUGCUUUUGUGGGGUGCUCGAGUGGCGAACGGGUGAGUAACACGUGAGUAACCUGCCCUUGACUUUGGGAUAACUUCAGGAAACUGGGGCUAAUACCGGAUAGGAGCUCCUGCUGCAUGGUGGGGGUUGGAAAGUUUCGGCGGUUGGGGAUGGACUCGCGGCUUAUCAUCUUGUUGGUGGGGUAGUUGCUUACCAAGGCUUUGACGGGUAGCCGGCCUGAGAGGGUGACCGGCCAAAUUGGGACUGAGAUAAGGCACAGACUGCUACGGGAGGCAGCAGUGGGGAAUAUUGCACAAUGGGCGGAAGCCUGAUGCAGCAACGCCGCGUGCGGGAUGACGGCCUUCGGGUUGUAAACCGCUUUCGCCUGUGACGAAGCGUGAGUGACGGUAAUGGGUAAAGAAGCACCGGCUAACUACGUG
RNAcentral lists this ribosomal RNA (468 nucleotides) under uncultured bacterium. RNAcentral describes it as "partial 16S ribosomal RNA". It matches the Rfam family "Bacterial small subunit ribosomal RNA", at positions 28 to 507 of the family's 1533-position model. The record is from RNAcentral.